GGUUCAGCUACCUUAGGAGCCCGCUACUUUGAGUUCUCGCUCAGUUCGGUUGAGUUCACUUGCAAUAAAGUAGUUCCCGCUUCAACCUUCAAGUUGCUUGUCACCUCCCGGUUAUUUGCCCAGCUGGACUGCAACAAAUGUAUAUCUUCCUGGCUCAAUCUGGGCAGGUCAUAUGACUUUAGGAAAUUACUGAUGCCUUCACUAUCACCUAUUUUAUUAGAGUUAUGGUUUCAAAAUAAUUUCUAAUUAUCUUCUGUUUUUCUGUAGUGUCUGUUUUGAUAUUUAUUUUUUCAAAAUAUAUGCUAGUAAUUUGGGUUCUCGCUCUUCUUCUCUUUGUUAUCAUGACUAAGGGUCUGUGAUUCUUAUGUAUUUUUUCAAAGAACCAACUCUGAGUUUUGUCAAUUUUUCCAAAUGUUUCUUUUGUUUUUAUUUCACUGAUUUCAACUCUGAUUUUUAUUAUUGCAUGCCUUCCACUGCUUUUGCUGAUGGUUUGUUCUUCUUUUUCUAGUGCUUUGAAGUGUAGUGUGAGGUCAUUAACUUCUUGGCUCUUUCUUCUUUCAAGAAAUAAACUCCAAGCAAUGAAUUGUCUUCUUAGUACUGCUUUUAUAAUGUCCUAGGGAUUUUGAUAUGUGGUGUCUGUGUUCUCAUUUACCUCUAAGAAUUUUUUUAAUUUCCUCCUUGAUAUCUUCUGUAACCCAUUGUUCAUUUAGUAGCAUAUUGUUCAUUCUCCAUGUGAAGAAGGAAUUUUUCUUCCUUAUUUUAUCCUUGAUUUCCAAUUUUAUUCCAUUACAAUGGGAUAAAAUGCAUGGUAGUAACUCUACUCCUUUAUAUUUGUUAAGAGUUGCCCUGGGCAUAAUAUAGCGUCUAUUUUUGAGAAGGAUCCAUGUGCUGCUGAGAUAUUGUGCUGCUUGAUAUUGGUUGAUAUUUUAUAUAUGUCAACUAAGUCUAACUUGUGGUUUUGAGUUCUAUGGUUUCAUUAUUCAAAUUUGAUUGGACGGUCUUCCCAGUGGUGAGAGAGGUGUGCUAAAAUCACCCAUGAUUAUUAUGCUUUGGUCUAUUUGACUCUUGAACUAGAGAAGAAUUUUUUAUAUGAACAUAGCUGCACCAUGGUUUGGGGCAUAUAUAUUAAAGAUUGUUAUGUCUUGUUGCUGUAUGGUUCCCUUGAUCAAUAUGUAGGGUCCUUCCUUAUCCCUUUUGAUAAACUUUGGCUAGAAGUCUACUUUAUUUGAUAUGAGUAAGGACACCUCUGCUUGCUUCUGAGGUCCGUGUGAGUGUAUGAUUUUUCCCAGCCUUUUACCUUCAGUCUAUGUAUCUCUUUUCCUAUCAAAUGAUUUUGUUGUACACAGCAUAUUGUAGGAUCUUUUUAAAAAUAAUCUAGUCUACUAGCCUGUAUCUUUUGAAUGGUGAGUUUAUGCCAUUAACAUUUAGGGUUACUAUUGAGAUAUGGUUUGUAUUUCCAGCCAUAUUUGUUUAUCUUUGUUAUUUAACUUGACUUAAUUUUCCUCUUUGAUUAGUUUUUUUUUCCCAUAGUGUACUCCAUUCCACUGUUGGUUUUCAUUGUUCUUUUCCAUUUCCUCUUAAUGACAUAUUUUUCCAAGGAUAUGUUGACCGCUGGUUUUGUACCUGCAGAUUCUCUUAACUUUUGUUUAUCAUGGAAGAAUUUUAUUUCAUCGUCAACCUGACACUUAGUCUUGCUGCAUACAAGAGUCUUGGUUAUACUCUGGUUUCCUCUUCAGAUCGUAUAAAUCUUUCACCUUUUACAAGAGUCUUGGUUAGAAUAUAGUAUAUUUUAGCAUUGGAAAUAUAUUGUUCCAGGAUCUUCUAGCUUUCAGGGACUGUGCUGAAAGAUCAGCCUUUAAACUAAUUGGUAUACCCCUAUAUGUGAUCUGAUGCUUUUUUCUUGUGGCUUUUAAAAUUUUCUUCUUGGAAAAUUCAAUGGAGAACAAUCUAAAAAAUACCUGACAAGUCCUCCUCAACACUGUCAAGGUCAUCAGAACAAGGGAGUUCAUAGAAACUGUCACCCCAAGAGAAGUUCAUGGAGACAUUAUGACUGGAUGUCAUGUUGGAUCCUAGAUGGAAUCCUAGAACAGGAAGACACAGUACCAAGAAUCCAAAAGAUAUGUGACUUCAGUUAAUUUUAACAUACCAGUAUUUCUUCUUCAUGAUGAAUGGUCUAAGAUGUUAACACUUUAGAAACAGCUCACCUAAGUCAUAAUAAGGGAAGAAACCAGGCUGAGGCUACCUGGGAAAUCUCUGCAAUUUUUUUCAAUUUCUGUAUAAAGAUAAAACUAAGCCUGGCAUGGUAGCACAUGCCUGUAAUCCCAGUGUCUUGAGGGGCUGAGGCAAGAGGAUUUCAAGUUCAAAGCCAGCCUCAGCAACUUAGUGAAGCCCUAAGUAACUCUGUGAGACCCUACCUCUAAAUAAAAUACAAAAAAAUGGCUGGGGAUGUGGCUCAGUGAUUAAGCACACCUGGAUUCAAUCCCCAGUAACCCCCCCCCCCAAAAAAAAAGAUUAAACUAAUGUAAAACCUUAGGAUAUGGUUGUACUUUCUCAAACACCUACUUGUUUAAUUAUUCAUACAGUUAAUUACUGGUAACUGACACUCUUAGCUAGUUCUGUAUUUUAUUAUGAACAUUUAUAACACAAAAAUUAAAUAGUUCAAACUAAUAUAAAAUUCAAAGUAUGUGGGCUGGGGUUGUAGCUCAGCAGUAGAGCACUCACCUAGCAUAUGUGAGGCACUAGGUUUGAGCCUCAGCACCACAGAAAAAUGAAUAAAUAAAAAUAAAGGCAUUGUGUCCAACUACAACUAAAAAAAAUUUAAAAAUUCAAAGUAUGUGCCACUUUUACAUAUUUCAUGUUGAAGUAAUAACAUAUGUGAACUUGUUAUAUUUUUAUUCUGUCACUAUGUUUUAGGUUUGCCUUCUUAAAACUUGAUCACUAGAGGGGAAAAAAUGACAUUUUAGAGAUUUUAUUUCAACUCAUGGUUUAACUUUCCCAAAUGAGUGACUUUAUAUAAAAAAAGUUCUAAUGGCAAAUUGACUCACUGUGACUGAAUCACUUAUCCCAAAGAAUCCUUGUCUCUAUUUUAUUUCUUUGCAUACCUUUUAGCUGCAAUAUAAUCAAAUAUUUGUCACUGAAACAAAUAGUCAAAGAACGUCCAACUCCUCCAAGACCUCUGCAGGAAGUGGUAAGCCAAGAGAAGCAAAGGUGUCAACUCAGUCCAGGAGUGAUAUUAGAUGCUGCUGUGUUGUGGAGAAACACUCUAUCUUUUAGAAAUCACAAGGAGCUAUGGAUGCCCAAACUCUUGCAUGAGUCUAAAUCUAGUUGAACUUCUAAGUAAUUUUAUUGUCACUAGCUCAUCAUGAAGCUAAUGACAACUAAAGGAUCUAUGGGUCUGGGGAUGUAGCUCAGUGAUAGAAAGAUUUCCUAGCAUGCAGGAGGCCCUAGGACAAACCCCCAGAACCACAAAAGAAAAAAAAGAAUUUGUGUCUUAUUUGUUUAAUCAAAUAAAAAAUGAAUAAUCACUCCUCUUAAGAAAACAUGUUGGGUCUAAAACACUUGAGACUUUCAGAAUCAAAAUACUCUCCUUAUAGUGUAUUGCAUAGCUAGACCACCAUGAAGAGUGGUGUCACAUCAUAAAACAUGUUCACAUGAAGCAUACCAUCAAAACAACAAAAAGGCUUUAUUGACAGUUGAUAAGAAAAAUGAACAUAAUCUAGCUUAGGAAAUUAUUAACACAUUGGAAACAUGUGUUAAUAAGUAGACAUCAAAAUCCUCCAGGACAAGCCAGGCACUUUGACACAUGCCUGUCAUCUCAGCUAUUUGGGAGAAUAAAGCAGAAGGACCACAAAUGUGAGGCCAACAUUAGCAAUUCAGCUAGAACCUGUCUCAAAAUGAAAUUGUAACGAGGACUGAAGACAUAUGUAAAUCAGGGCUUUCAUAGCACAUGCAAGGUCCUGGGUUUAAUCCCCAGUGCCAAAAAAAAAUUUCUCUAGGUGAGACAUCUGAUAACAGACAACUAUGGCAGGUACAGAACAGGGCAGAAGCCAUUAUGUCAACUUCCUCAAAAUGUUUAAAGUAAACCUGUACUUUGUUCAGCUCACAAUACUAACAUGUCUGAUUUCUGCUUCUAAUAAUUCAAAUGUAACCAUUUAAAUAUGAUCAAAAGUUUGUGUACUUUUCUAAUGAAUCCAACAAAUUUGAGAGAGAGACUCAACUGUGUUCUGAAAGCCACCUUAUAAGCACAUAGGAGCACCAACAUUAGGAUAAAAUGUAAUCAUUGUAUUUCCCACAUGAAAUAACCCUAAAUGCUAAUGAAUACAUAAUUUCAAAAGAAAGACAAAUUUCUGAAAUCAAAAGCAAAUUGAUACAUUUUUAAAUAAUAUUUUGAACAGAGGCAAAACACUUAAAGAGUUCUCCCACAAGAAUUCCUGACAACAUAAAGUAUCAUGCUCAUUAGAAGGCCCAUCGCUUUGUAUGCAAGGAAUAAGAGAACUUUCUGAUAAAUGUAGAACUUUAAUAGGACAUAUUGACAUGCUUUCUAAAUUUUAAAAGAAAAUAUCUGUUUUUAAAAAAGCUUAUUUGUAGUAAAUGUAACUGAAUUACAAAAAAAGCAGCUACUGACUUGUCUCUUACAUUUUGUAAUGAUUUGCAUCUCAGGAAAUUUCAUAUAUAGUGGUUUUAAAUAUCAUGAAAUAUCAAUAGUUGACAUUAAAAUAUUAACAUCCCACUUCUUUUUCAAAACUGAUUUGAAAUUUUCUUAUAAUAAUUUCAUAUGGAUUUGUGAUUAUGUGAUGGAAGGAAUACAUGGAGCAGGUGACAUGCAUAUUUCUUCUACCAUUUCUGGGAGCAUGUUUGGAAACCUUAUCAUUUAGUGUUUGGGGAUACAAAAAGGUGUACCCUGUGUCUACAUAUAAGAGAUGAUGCAUGAAUACAACAUACGUUGAAUAAAAAAUAUAACAGGUUACUAUUUUAAAUAAUGGAUUGACUUGAUAUUUUAAAAAAUACAUGAAAUCUGGUAUUCAAAUACUAACAUUCAAUCCAAGUAGGUAUACAUCUAGUGGUAAUAUUAGGGUUACUAAUUAUAACAAACAGUGUUUGAGUUUUGCUUCAAAAAUGAUGAUGGAAAUCAAAAGUAAUGUGUUAUAAAAGAAAUCUCAUGAAAAAGCAAGUAAAGCAACAUGGAGAAAUACAUGAGUUCUGAUACAGGGAGUGAAUGAAAGAGAAUCAUAUGCAUAUCAAUUUGUGAAUGGAUGAAAUGAUACAUCCUGUGAUGUAUAUAUACUGAAGAAAUAGGAAUAUAACAAUUUUGAAAGAAAAUUAUCUUCAAAACACACAUCAUGUUUCAUAUGAAUAUACAUUCAUUGAUGUUAAACUGUGUCACAUACUGUAGAAAUAUUAGGGUUAGUACUCAAUAUUCACUGAAGUUCAUUUUGAGUAUUCAGAAAUUAAUAUGUAUGUCAAGAAAAUGAAUAUUUCUGAGAAAUAUCUUGUGAAAAGUUGAUUAGAAAUCCACACAGUUGGACAUGAAAGGAUCAAGGUAGUGUAUGUAUAUGACACAUGUGUUUCAUGUUUGCAAAUCCGUACAGUGUGUGUGUGUGUCUAUACA
This 5608-nucleotide long non-coding RNA is filed under the name Marmota monax (woodchuck). Lineage: Eukaryota; Metazoa; Chordata; Mammalia; Rodentia; Sciuridae. The record is from RNAcentral.